RNAcentral lists this ribosomal RNA (752 nucleotides) under Bacillus pumilus. Its description in RNAcentral is "bacterial SSU rRNA". It matches the Rfam family "Bacterial small subunit ribosomal RNA", at positions 401 to 1148 of the family's 1533-position model. The record is from RNAcentral. Lineage: Bacteria; Bacillati; Bacillota; Bacilli; Caryophanales; Bacillaceae.
GAGUGAUGAAGGUUUUCGGAUCGUAAAGCUCUGUUGUUAGGGAAGAACAAGUGCAAGAGUAACUGCUUGCACCUUGACGGUACCUAACCAGAAAGCCACGGCUAACUACGUGCCAGCAGCCGCGGUAAUACGUAGGUGGCAAGCGUUGUCCGGAAUUAUUGGGCGUAAAGGGCUCGCAGGCGGUUUCUUAAGUCUGAUGUGAAAGCCCCCGGCUCAACCGGGGAGGGUCAUUGGAAACUGGGAAACUUGAGUGCAGAAGAGGAGAGUGGAAUUCCACGUGUAGCGGUGAAAUGCGUAGAGAUGUGGAGGAACACCAGUGGCGAAGGCGACUCUCUGGUCUGUAACUGACGCUGAGGAGCGAAAGCGUGGGGAGCGAACAGGAUUAGAUACCCUGGUAGUCCACGCCGUAAACGAUGAGUGCUAAGUGUUAGGGGGUUUCCGCCCCUUAGUGCUGCAGCUAACGCAUUAAGCACUCCGCCUGGGGAGUACGGUCGCAAGACUGAAACUCAAAGGAAUUGACGGGGGCCCGCACAAGCGGUGGAGCAUGUGGUUUAAUUCGAAGCAACGCGAAGAACCUUACCAGGUCUUGACAUCCUCUGACAACCCUAGAGAUAGGGCUUUCCCUUCGGGGACAGAGUGACAGGUGGUGCAUGGUUGUCGUCAGCUCGUGUCGUGAGAUGUUGGGUUAAGUCCCGCAACGAGCGCAACCCUUGAUCUUAGUUGCCAGCAUUCAGUUGGGCACUCUAAGGUGA